RNAcentral lists this transfer RNA (73 nucleotides) under Xyrichtys novacula (pearly razorfish). Its description in RNAcentral is "tRNA.Pro". Lineage: Eukaryota; Metazoa; Chordata; Actinopteri; Labriformes; Labridae. The record is from RNAcentral.
GUCCACAUGGCUCAGAGGAUAAGACGAUGGACUGGGACUCCUGAGGUCGUGAGUUCAAAUCUCACCUUAUCCA